This is a long non-coding RNA of Planococcus citri (citrus mealybug), 298 nucleotides long. RefSeq lists it as uncharacterized. The transcript has 2 exons. Lineage: Eukaryota; Metazoa; Arthropoda; Insecta; Hemiptera; Pseudococcidae. The record is from RefSeq and is a predicted model, not a curated record.
CUGAGUUUGCCUGUUAUAAUAUUUUCUGAUCAAAAAGUGACAAUGAUAUCUUUCAUGUCUGCGUUUAUUUAUUUGCUACUCGAAGACUAGAGAGAUGAAUGAUUUUACGAAAGAAUCAGUUGUAGUGGCUGAUGAAAGUGUAUUGUUUACUUAGAAAAUGCUGUGUUAAUUUUAUUCGGUAACGGAUCGUAGCAAUUUUACAAAUCAGUUGGACAAAUUCGUGGAGCAUGGACCAUUGUACCUUGAUAACAAUCCUGUUCGUGAGCGAUGCAAGAAUACUGCACUUUGGCAGCUGAUG